RNAcentral lists this ribosomal RNA (495 nucleotides) under uncultured bacterium. Its description in RNAcentral is "partial 16S ribosomal RNA". It matches the Rfam family "Bacterial small subunit ribosomal RNA", at positions 28 to 507 of the family's 1533-position model. The record is from RNAcentral.
GACGAACGCUGGCGGCGUGCCUAAUACAUGCAAGUAGAACGCUGAAGGAGGAGCUUGCUCUUCUGGAUGAGUUGCGAACGGGUGAGUAACGCGUAGGUAACCUGCCUGGUAGCGGGGGAUAACUAUUGGAAACGAUAGCUAAUACCGCAUAAGAGUAGAUGUUGCAUGACAUUUGCUUAAAAGGUGCAAUUGCAUCACUACCAGAUGGACCUGCGUUGUAUUAGCUAGUUGGUGGGGUAACGGCUCACCAAGGCGACGAUACAUAGCCGACCUGAGAGGGUGAUCAGCCACACUGGGACUGAGACACGGCCCAGACGCCUACGGGAGGCAGCAGUAGGGAAUCUUCGGCAAGGGACGGAAGUCUGAGCGAGCAACGCCGCGUGAGUGAAGAAGGUUUUCGGAUCGUAAAGCUCGGUUGUAAGAGAAGAACGAGUGUGAGAGUGGAAAGUUCACACUGUGACGGUAUCUUACCAGAAAGGGACGGCUAACUACGUG